CCUACGGGAGGCAGCAGUGAGGAAUAUUGGUCAAUGGACGAGAGUCUGAACCAGCCAAGUAGCGUGAAGGAUGACUGCCCUAUGGGUUGUAAACUUCUUUUAUAUGGGACUAAAAUGUUCCACGUGUGGGAUUUUGUAUGUACCAUAUGAAUAAGGAUCGGCUAACUCCGUGCCAGCAGCCGCGGUAAUACGGAGGAUCCGAGCGUUAUCCGGAUUUAUUGGGUUUAAAGGGCGCGUAGGUGGUUUGUUAAGUCAGUUGUGAAAGUUUGCGGCUCAACCGUAAAAUUGCAGUUGAAACUGGCAGUCUUGAGUACAGUAGAGGUGGGCGGAAUGCGUGGUGUAGCGGUGAAAUGCUUAGAUAUCACGAAGAACUCCGAUUGCGAAGGCAGUUCACUGGACUGCAACUGACACUGAGGCACGAAAGUGUGGGUAUCAAACAGGAUUAGAUACCCGAGUAGUC
Molecule: ribosomal RNA, 460 nt
Filed under: uncultured bacterium
Lineage: Bacteria
Description: partial 16S ribosomal RNA
Rfam family: Bacterial small subunit ribosomal RNA
Source: RNAcentral